Molecule: ribosomal RNA, 498 nt
Filed under: uncultured bacterium
Lineage: Bacteria
Description: partial 16S ribosomal RNA
Rfam family: Bacterial small subunit ribosomal RNA
Source: RNAcentral
GACGAACGCUGGCGGCGUGCCUAAUACAUGCAAGUCGUGCGGACCUUUUAAAAGCUUGCUUUUAAAAGGUUAGCGGCGGACGGGUGAGUAACACGUGGGCAACCUUCCUGUAAGACUGGGAUAACGCCGGGAAACCGGGGCUAAUACCGGAUCGUUUUUCCUCCGCAUGGAGGAAAAAGGAAAGGCGGCUUCGGCUGCCACUUACAGCUGGUCCCGCGGCGCAUUAGCUAGUUGGCGGGGUAACGGCCCACCAAGGCAACGAUGCGUAGCCGACCUGAGAGGGUGAUCGGCAACAUUGGGACUGAGACACGGCCCAAACUCCUACGGGAGGCAGCAGUAGGGAAUCUUCCGCAAUGGACGAAAGUCUGACGGAGCAACGCCGCGUGAGUGAAGAAGGCCUUCGGGUCGUAAAACUCUGUUGCCGGGGAAGAACAAGUGCCGUUCGAACAGGGCGGCGCCUUGACGGUACCCGGACAGAAAGCCACGGCUAACUACGUG